This 253-nucleotide ribosomal RNA is filed under the name uncultured bacterium. RNAcentral describes it as "partial 16S ribosomal RNA". It matches the Rfam family "Bacterial small subunit ribosomal RNA", at positions 524 to 776 of the family's 1533-position model. The record is from RNAcentral.
UACGUAGGUGGCAAGCGUUGUUCGGAAUUAUUGGGCGUAAAGGGCGCGUAGGCGGUUGGCUAAGUCAGCUGUGAAAGCCCGGGGCUCAACCCCGGAGGGUCGGCUGAUACUGGUUGACUAGAGUACGGAAGAGGUAGCUGGAAUUCCCGGUGUAGCGGUGAAAUGCGUAGGUAUCGGGAGGAACACCUGAGGCGAAGGCGGGCUACUGGGCCGAUACUGACGCUGAUGCGCGAAAGCCAGGGGAGCGAACGGG